Molecule: long non-coding RNA, 3080 nt
Organism: Eriocheir sinensis (Chinese mitten crab)
Lineage: Eukaryota; Metazoa; Arthropoda; Malacostraca; Decapoda; Varunidae
Exons: 3
Source: RefSeq, a predicted model, not a curated record
UCUGUGUUUUGUGUUUCAUUCCCUCUUUCUUUUCUUGUUCUGUAUUUUUUUGCUGUGUUCUCUGUUGGUACGUGAUAUAUGGUCCUUCUUUCCUUCCUUUUUCACAAGCCUUCAUUCUUCCUUUAUGUCCAAGAUGCAUUUCCUACCUCACCUUUUUUUCAUCCCCUCUUCUUACUUUUUUAUUUCUUUAUCUUGUUUUGUGUUCCCUAAUGAAACGUUAUGAUCCUUCCUUCCUUUCUUAUCUUUUUACAAGUCUUCAUUCUUCCUUUAUGUCCAGAUGGAUUUCCUACCUCACCUCUGUUUUGUUUUUCAUCCCCUCUUGUCUUUUUUUUAUGUUUAUCCUGUUUUGUGUUCUCUAAUGAAACCUUAUGGCCCCUCCUUCCUUUCUUUUUUACAAGUUUUCAUUCUUUCUUUAUAUCCAAGAUGCAUUUCCUACCUCCCCUUUUUUUCAUCCCCUCUUCUUACUUUUUUAUUUCUUUAUCUUGUUUUGUGUUCCCUAAUGAAACGUUAUGAUCCUUCCUUCCUGCUAUGCCCCACAAGACGGAGGAAAGUUAAAGGGAUAGUGAAAAGGAUGAUAACUAAAAACAGGUGUGCGUGUACUGCCCAGGUGCUUAAUUAGUGCGUGAGGGAAGAACAGGUGUGGGCAGGUACGGAAUGUAGGGGGUGGAUGGGGGGUGAGGAGCUAAAAGGAAUAGGUCGAUAUGGUUUUAAAUUAAUUGAGAAAGAAAAAAAAAGAUGAUAAUGCAGAGUUAGGUGAAGAAGGUGUGGCUGUAAAUGGGGGCGGGUGCUUCAAAAUAAUAGGAAAAAAAAAGUUGAAUAAAGAUGCCAAAAGAUGAAUUAAAUACCCGGUAGGAAAGAAUGUGUGUGGGUGUGUAUGUAUGAAUGUAUGCAUGUAUAUGGUGUGAAGAGAAAGGUGAGGUAUUGAAGGGAUUACAGAAGAAAGAAGAGCAGUUGAGAAGGUGUAUAAGGGAAGGGACAGGUUAAUUAAUGAAGGGGAAGGAGAGAGGUGUGGAGAUAAAGGUGAGGUAUUGAAGGGAUUACAGAAGAAAGAAGAGCAGUUGAGAAGGUGCAUUAGGGAAGGGACAGGUUAAUUAAUGAAGGGGGAGGAGAGAGGUGUGGAAAUAAAGGUAAGGUACUGAAGGGAUUAAACGUGGAGAAAGAGAUAUCAGUUGAGAAGGUGCAUUAGGGAAGGGACAGGUUAAUUAAUGAAGGGGGAGGAGAGAGGUGUGAAGAGUAGGCAGGCGUUAACUUCAGGUGUAGAGGAGAAAGGAAAGACUUAAGGGAUUAGUAAAGAAUGGAGAAGGUAAGGAUGGACAGGUGUUUGAUUAGUGAGUAAAAGGAAAAUUAAAGGAUUAGACAUGUAAGGUAAAAGUAAGGGUAGUCAGGUAAAGCAUAAGGGAUUAGGAAGGUAAGGGAAAGGUAAAAAUGGACAGGUAUUUAAUUAGUGAGUGUUGAAAGGAAAAGUAAGGGAUUAGGAAGGUAAGGGAAAGGUAAAGAUGGGCAGGUGUUUAAUUAGUGAGUGUUGAAAGGAAAAGUAAGGGAUUAGGAAGGGAAGGGAAAGGUAAAAAUGGACAGGCAUCUAAUUAGUGAGCGGUAGAAGGGAAAGGAAGGAAUUAGGAAAGGGAACCAGGAAGUGUGCAAGGAAAAGAGAGGGGAGAAGACAAUACCGAAAAAAAGUAGGAAAGAAAAGAAGGAAGGCAACAGUAACAGCAAUAGAAAUAACAAUAAUAACUAAGUCGUGUGAAAAUGUUUAAUAUGUGUAUAGAAGAGUAAGGAAAAAUAACGAAUAAGGGAUUAGGAAAAGAAGGAGAGAUGUGGAAGGAAAAAGGAGAGGAGAAGACAGAUGUAAGGCGUAGGAAAGGUGAUUGAUAUAUGCGUAGAGGAGAAAGGAAAAAUAAAGUAUAAGGAAUUAGGAAAGGAAGGAUUAGGUGCAGAAAGGAAAAAGAGAGAGAAGACAGGCGUAAGGCGUAGGAAGGUGAUUGAUAUAUGCGUAGAGGAGAAAGGAAAAAUAAAGUAUAAGGGAUUAGGAAAGGAAGGAAAGGUGUGGAGGGAAAAAGGAGAGGAGAAAAUAGGCGUAAGGCGUAGGAAGGUGACUGAUAUAUGCGUAGAGGAGAAAGGAAAAAUAACAAAGGAUUAGGAAAGGAAGGAGUGGGAGAGGAGAAGACAGAUGUAAGGCGUAGGAAGGUGAUUGAUAUAUGCGUAGAGGAGAAAGGAAAAAUAACAAAGGAUUAGUAAAGGAAGGAAAGGAGAAGAGAAGACAGGCGUAAGGCGUAGGAAGGUGAUUGAUAUAUGCGUAGAGGAGAAAGGAAAAAUAACAAAGGAUUAGGAAAGAAAGGAGAAGGAGAGGAGAAGACAGAUGUAAGGCGUAGGAAAGGUGAUUGAUAUAUGCGUAGAGGAGAAAGGAAAAAUAACAAAGGAUUAGGAAAGGAAGGAAAGGAGAGGAGAAGACAGAUGUAAGGCGUAGGAAAGGUGAUUGAUAUAUGCGUAGAGGAGAAAGGAAAAAUAACAAAGGAUUAGGAAAGGAAGGAGUGGGAGAGGAGAAGACAGAUGUAAGGCGUAGGAAGGUGAUUGAUAUAUGCGUAGAGGAGAGAGGAAAAAUAACAAAGGAUUAGUAAAGGAAGGAAAGGAGAGGAGAAGACAGAUGUAAGGCGUAGGAAAGGUGAUUGAUAUAUGCGUAGAGGAGAAAGGAAAAAUAACAAAGGAUUAGGAAAGGAAGGAAAGGAGAGGAGAAGACAGGCGUAAGGCGUAGGAAGGUGAUUGAUAUAUGCGUAGAAGAGAAAGGAAAAAUAACAAAGGAUUAGGAAAGGAAGGAAAGGAGAGGAGAAGACAGAUGUAAGGCGUAGGAAGGUGAUUGAUAUAUGCGUAGAGGAGAAAGGAAAAAUAACAAAGGAUUAGUAAAGGAAGGAAAGGAGAGGAGAAGACAGGCGUAAGGCGUGAGAAGGUGAUUGAUAUAUGCGUAGAGGAGAAAGGAAAAGUGACGUAUAAGGGAUUUGGAAAGGAAGGAAAGGAGAGGAGAAGACAGAUGUAAGGCGUAGGAAGGUGAUUGAUAUAUGCGUAGAGGAGAAAGGAAAAGUGACUUA